UAGUUUGAUUCUAACUAAUAAAUUAAACUAUAAAUUGCUCCCCAUGUAUAAGUAAUUUAAAAUAAAAAAAAUAUAUAGUAUAACAAGAAUGAAUUAUCUAUAUUACAGUGGUUAAUCCUAUAAUUAUAUGUUAAAGCAUGAAAUGGCAAUUAUUAUUACAAAUCGACAAAAUUCGUGCCAGCAGUCGCGGUUAGACGAUAGAUAUUUAAUUUUAAAAAUCCUUUGAGGUGAAAUAAAUAAAAUUUUUAAGGUCUAAUUUAUACCUUUAUAGAAUCUAACUCAUCUUAUUUAAACUAAAAAUUAAAACAAGGAUUAGAUACCCUUCUAUUUUUAGCUUACCAAAAUGGAUUGGUUAAUACGAACAAUAGUUUAAAAUCCAAAGAAUUUGGCGGUACUUUAUUUUAAUCAGGGGAACCUGCCUCAUAACUCGAUAACCCACGAAUAUCUUUACCUAAAUUAGAAUUUAAACAGUUAGUGUACUGCCGCCUUAAGUAUACCUUUAUGAGAGUAUACAAUAAAAAUAAUUUUUUAGACGACAGGUCAAAGUGCAGCUAAUAUUUAGGAGACGGUGGGUUACAAACUAUAUUAAAGAUUACGGAUAAGAAAAUUAAUAAUUCUUUAAAGGUGGACUUGAAAGUAAUUAGAUUAAACUAAUGAAAAUAAAACUAAAGUAAGCACACAUCGCCCGUCACUCCCUCUGGGAUAAGUCGUAACAUAGUAGAUAUAAUGGAAAUUGUAUCUAG
Molecule: ribosomal RNA, 743 nt
Filed under: Ozobranchus jantseanus
Lineage: Eukaryota; Metazoa; Annelida; Clitellata; Hirudinida; Ozobranchidae
Description: 12S ribosomal RNA
Source: RNAcentral